UUUUCCAAAGGUAUUUGCUUUGUAUCUGUCAUAUUUUGGUAAUUCUUGAAACAUUUUAAGCUUUAAAAAAAACCUGUAGUUGGAAGUUCCUGUUGUGGCGCAGCGGAAAUGAAUCUGACUAGGAACCAUGAGGUUGCAGGAUCGAUCCCUGGCCUCCAUCAGUGGGUUAAGGAUCCAGCAUUGCCUGGAGCUGUGGUAUAGGUCUGCAGACUUGGCUCAGAUCCCAUGUUGCUCCUGGGAACCUCCAUAUGCUGUGGGUGCGGCCCUCAAAAAGACUAAAGGCAAAAAUAAACAAAUAAAAUAAAAAUUAUAAUUGAUUUAUAAUGUUGUGCCAAUUUCUGCCGUGUAGAAAAGGGACCCCAUCACACACACACACACAUUCUUUUUUUCAUACUACCAUCAUGUUCUAUACCAAGUGAUUGGAUACAGAUCCCCCAUUUUUUUCAUUAUUAUUAUGUUUGCUAUGGUGAUAUGUGAUCAGUGGUCUUUGAUGUUACUACUAUGACUUGCGAGAGGCUCAGAUGAUGGUUAGCAGUUAUUUAGCAAUGAAAUACUUUUAAAUUAAGGUUUGCACAUGGUUUUUAAAGACAUUUUGCUACUGCAUAUUCAUGGGCUACAGUGUCAACAUAAAUUUUAUAUGCAUUGGGAAACUAAAAACUUCACAGAACUCGCUUUAUUUGGAUAUUCGCUCCAUAGUGGCAGUCUGGAACUGAACCCACCUCUCCCUCUGAAGUGUGUCUGGCGUGGACUGGGUAAUGUGAGAUUAAUUUUUUGUGUGUCAACUUGACUGGGCUGUGAGGUGCUCAGGUGUUUCAUAAAACAUUAUUCUGGGUGUGUCUGUGAGGGUGUUUCUAGAGGAGGUUACCAUUUGAGUUGGUAGAUUUAGUACAGCAGACUGCCCUCAGUGUGGGUGAGUCUCAUGAAAUCUGUCGGAGGCCUAAAUAGAAGGAAAGAGACUUUUCUCUCUCCUGCCUGAUGGCCUUCAAGCUGGGACAUAAGUAGUUUUCUGCUGCCUUUGGACUCAGACUGGAUCUUACUCCAUUGACUCUCCCGGCCAUGCCUUCGGACUACAGAUGUGGGGACUCAGUCUCCAUAACUGUGUCAGCCAAUACCUUAUAAUAAAUCUCUUUCUUGAUGUAUCCUAUUGGUUCACUUUCCCCAGGGAACUCUGACUCAUACUAGUAGUGGCCCUCACAAAAAUCACAGUUACCCAGAAACUCAGAAUGUGACCUUAUUUGGAAACAGAAUCUUUGCAGAUGUAAUUAGUUAAGGACCAAGAUGAGGUCAUACCAGAGUGGGAAGGGGGGCCCUAAAUCCAGUGACUGGUAUCCUUAUAAGUAGGAGGAAAGGAUGGCGAGACACACAGAUGCACGGAGGGAAGAUCGUGUGAAGACAGAGGCAGAGGUUGGAGUCACGCAGCUACAAGCCAAGGAAUUCUAGUGACUGCUGGAGCCACUGGCAGCUGGGAAGAGGCACGGAAGGAUUCUUCCCUAAAGACCCAAGGUGGCACGGCUCUGCCAAUACCCUGGCUUCACACGUCUCCCCUCCAGAACUAUGAGAGAAUAAGGUUCUGUUGUUUUAAGCCAUUAAGUAGGUGGUAAUUUGUUACAGCAGCCCUAAGAAAACCAAUAAGGGAUUUUCUGGGACAGGUGUCUUCACUCAAAAUUAGAGACUCACGGGGAGAAAAGAAAACUUGGUGCACGAGGAAAUGGCAGAUGAUUCUGUAUGGCUGGGGUACAGGCUGUCUGACUGGCGAGUCAAGGCCCAAGGAGAGCCUGAAAAACUAUGGGACGCGGCCUGCCACGCCCAGAGUGAUGAAAACCAGCACAUGCUAGGCUGGAUGAAGGACGAGGGCGAGGGAAUUAUGAGUCAAGUCAUUGUUUUCUUUCUACCUGCUAUGGAUGAUGGGGUUCUUUUUUGGCAAGUGUUGGCUAAAGUGAAUUGUUUGCUUUCUAAAAGUAUUCUUUUUUUUUUGCCAUUCCUUGGGCCACUCCCGUGGCAUAUGGAGGUUCCCAGGCUAGGGGUCCAUUUGGAGCUGUAGCCAUCAGCCUACGCCAGAGCCACAGCAACACCGGAUUCGAGCCGAGUCUGUGACCUACACCACAGCCUACGGCAACGCUGGAUCCUUAACCCACUGAGCAAGGCCAGGGAUCAAACCUGCAACCUCAUGGUUCCUAGUCGGAUUCGUUAACCACUGAGCCACAACGGCAACUCCAAAGUAUUAUUUUACCUAUUUUUCCUUCUACAUUUUUUUUUUUAAACAAUGACCUUUCAAAAGGGGGAGAAAUAUUUCAGAAUCCUUAAAAAUUCAACUUGAAAAAUGUAAUACUAUCAAAGAAUGGGAUAAAUGCUGAAAUAAUGUCCCUCUAAAAGAGAAUUUUAAGCAUUUGGAACAAGCUCUUGGAGAACAAGGGUCCUGUCAGACAUUUCCUUUUGUAUUCUAUAAAGACUGUCAACGACUUUAGUAUCCAGUCCUCUUGCUUCUGUGGUCCUUCUCUGAAGUCCUAUCAGAUCAUAGAGAGAAACAUUACGUUAAAUGCUAUUUCUCUCUUGCUCUUUUUUUUUUUUUUUUUUUUUUUCAGAGCCACACCUGCAGCACAUGGAAGUUCCUAGGCUAAGGGUUGAACUGGAGCUACAGCUGCUGACCUAUGCCAUAGCCACAGCAACGCCAGAUCUGAGCUGCAUCUGUGACCUAUGCCGCAGCUUAUGGCAAUGCCAGAUGGUUAACCCACUGAGUGAGGCCAGGGAUUGAAACCAUAUCCUCAUGGAGACUUUGCCAGGUUCUUAACCUGCUAAGCCACAAUGCGAACUCCCUAAUUCUCAUUUUUAUGACUUAAUGAACAAUGUCUGAGAAAGCUACUCUUCUACCAGUCCAUUAGAACCACCUGGGACGGCUUGUGGGGAAAUAAGUCGUGGUCACUCAGCUGAAACUAAUGUCAAUGGCUCAAUUAUUCAUUCAUGUUUUUCAGACUCUGGGACACACCUCUGCUGAUUACCAGCCAAGCACAACUCAUUGCAGUUAGUAUACAUUAAGCAUGAACUCCAUGUGCGAGUAGGAAAAGGACCUAAACAUUUUAAUGAGAAGGUACUCAUGGACUGAACUGGACUAUUGUCUUUAUUACUAGGUAAGAUAAAAAAUGAGAAGAGCCUUUCCUAUCUUUCAGAAAGUGGAUGACUACUAUUUUACUAAAAAGCCUCCGUGCUUACAGGAGACAGAGCCUCAGAGCUGGACAAAAUGGACAAUCUCAAAGGAGUCCUUUUUUUAUCAGAUGGAGGAAUUUCCUGUUAAGAGCUGAGUUCAGGGAGUUCCCGUAGUGGCUCAGUGGUAAUGAACCUGACUAGUAUCCAUGAGGAUGUGGGUUCGAUCCCUGGCAUCUUUCAGUGGGUUAAGGAUCUGGCAUUGCCAUGAGCUGUGGUGCAGGUCGCAGAUGAGGCUUGGAUCUGGGGUUGCUGUGGCUGUGGUAUAGGCUGGCAGCUGUAGCUCCGAUUCGACCCUUAGCCUGGGAACUUCCGUAUGCCACAGGUGUGGCCCUAAAAAGACAAAAAAAAAAAAA
Molecule: long non-coding RNA, 3554 nt
Filed under: Sus scrofa (pig)
Lineage: Eukaryota; Metazoa; Chordata; Mammalia; Artiodactyla; Suidae
Description: lncRNA (ENSSSCG00040061052.1)
Source: RNAcentral